This is a non-coding RNA of Phrynosoma platyrhinos (Desert horned lizard), 72 nucleotides long. The record is from the annotation of a GenBank genome assembly. Lineage: Eukaryota; Metazoa; Chordata; Lepidosauria; Squamata; Phrynosomatidae.
GAUAGUGUGGCACAGUGGUUUGAGUGUUCGAUUAGGAUUCUGGAGUCCAGGGUUUGAAUCCCAGUUCAGCCA